Molecule: unclassified non-coding RNA, 21 nt
Filed under: Mus musculus (house mouse)
Lineage: Eukaryota; Metazoa; Chordata; Mammalia; Rodentia; Muridae
Description: oocyte_clustered_small_RNA5903
Source: RNAcentral
UUCUAGCCCAAAGGUCCAAAG